GACGAACGCUGGCGGCGUGCUUAACACAUGCAAGUCGAACGGAAAGGCCCUGCUUUUGUGGGGUGCUCGAGUGGCGAACGGGUGAGUAACACGUGAGUAACCUGCCCUUGACUUUGGGAUAACUUUAGGAAACUGGGGCUAAUACCGGAUAGGAGCUCCUGCUGCACGGUGGGGGUUGGAAAGUUUCGGCGGUUGUGGAUGGACUCGCGGGUUAUCAGCUGGUUGGUGUGGUAGUUGCUUACAAAGCUUUUGACGGGUAGCCGGCCUGAGAGGGUGACCGGCCACAUUGGGACUGAGAUACGGCGCAGACUCCUACGGGAGGCAGUGGUGGGGAAUAUUGCACAAUGGGCGGAAGCCUGAUGCAGCAACGCCGCGUGCGGGAUGACGGCCUUCGGGUUGUAAACCGCUUUCGCCUGUGACGAAGCGUGAGUGACGGUAAUGGGUAAAGAAGCACCGGCUAACUACGUG
This 468-nucleotide ribosomal RNA is filed under the name uncultured bacterium. Its description in RNAcentral is "partial 16S ribosomal RNA". It matches the Rfam family "Bacterial small subunit ribosomal RNA", at positions 28 to 507 of the family's 1533-position model. The record is from RNAcentral.